Molecule: long non-coding RNA, 481 nt
Filed under: Meriones unguiculatus (Mongolian gerbil)
Lineage: Eukaryota; Metazoa; Chordata; Mammalia; Rodentia; Muridae
Description: lncRNA (ENSMUGG00000020639.1)
Source: RNAcentral
CACGAGUGUGCCAAGUGCUGUGCCUUCGCAGGCUUCCUCGUCUAGACAUGAAGGGCCAUGCAGAAGGAACCCUGAGACCCCAAAGAUAUAAACUGUGACUGAAAGACCAAUGGCUGUGGACGCAGGAAUGCAGGCUGAAGACAGCCGCACUUCCCUCAGCGAGCUCUGGCUGUGCGCACUGUCCUCGGGAGUCAACUAGGAGUCCCCAGAGCUCUCUGCCCUGGACCCAAGCUGCCGCGAAGACACAGAGGAAACCUGGUACUGAGGACACAGUACCAAACCUGGUACUUCUUCAUAAAAGGUCUUCCAGCUGCAUGAGACAGGAGGUUUGUGCAGACCUUUACGGGGUGAUGAGACUAAGAGACGACCAAGUUAAGGCCUAAGUUCACACCAGUAGACCAGCGCACAGGCCCACUGAGUGGCCGGUGCGUGUGCCACUGACGCGGCGUGCGCUGCUUUCCCAGAUCCUCGGAGCCCAGGA